GAACGGCAGCACAGGUAGCAAUACCGGGUGGCGAGUGGCGGACGGGUGAGGAAUACAUCGGGACCUGCCCAGACGUGGGGGAUAACGUAGGGAAACUUACGCUAAUACCGCAUACGUCCUACGGGAGAAAGCGGGGGAUCGCAAGACCUCGCGCGGUUGGAUGGACCGAUGUUCGAUUAGCUAGUUGGUAGGGUAAUGGCCUACCAAGGCGACGAUCGAUAGCUGGUCUGAGAGGAUGAUCAGCCACACUGGGACUGAGACACGGCCCAGACUCCUACGGGAGGCAGCAGUGGGGAAUAUUGGACAAUGGGCGCAAGCCUGAUCCAGCAAUGCCGCGUGUGUGAAGAAGGCCUUCGGGUUGUAAAGCACUUUUAUCAGGAGCGAAAUACUACCGGCUAAUACCCGGUGGGGCUGACGGUACCUGAGGAAUAGGCACCGGCUAACUUCGUGCCAGCAGCCGCGGUAAU
Molecule: ribosomal RNA, 467 nt
Filed under: uncultured bacterium
Lineage: Bacteria
Description: bacterial SSU rRNA
Rfam family: Bacterial small subunit ribosomal RNA
Source: RNAcentral